Molecule: long non-coding RNA, 1306 nt
Organism: Cyprinus carpio carpio
Lineage: Eukaryota; Metazoa; Chordata; Actinopteri; Cypriniformes; Cyprinidae
Source: Ensembl
AUGGCCAUGACUGUGAGCAUGUCUGUGCGUCCUGCAAACAGAACAAAAAGUAUUUUUUCACUCUUCUUCACAGUAGAGUCCAAGGAAAGGGUUAGUUGGUUAGUGGCACAGGACAGUGGGGAAGUAGCAUGCAACAGUGACACAGGACAACACGCAAAUGGCAUUGAGCACUGUAGCAGGACAGUAGCAAUCCUCGAGAGGAAGGCAUUGCAUUGCUCCACCUCCUCCCCAAGAGUCAAACCAGCCCCCUCCUGGUAUGCCCCACUCCAUUUUACCUUCAAAUAAAAAAAGAAAAAAAUAAUAAAUCUAAGUGGCAACAAUAUUAUGUUUAGGGAAAGAACAUCACAUGAAAAGUCACAUUUUCUUACCUCACAUUUGAAGUCGUGGGCUUUGGCAUGAAACACUGAUAGAAAUGGCUUCAUUGAGAGCAGAUCCUGAAGCUCAGGGCAUCUCUCGUUCCCUCUCUGGAGGUAAGGCCAGUACUUGCACGCAACAUCCAUAGCAAAAAAUUUCACCGGCUUACAAGCCAUUUUUUUUCUGGAGGUACAGGGGUAAGCAAAAACCUCCCCCUGAACAUAUUAAGGGCACAAAGAAGAACACCAUGCUGGCAAACUGCAAGUUCUAGGCCCUCCUCAUCUAUUUUGCUGGAGGACUUCUGUGACGUUUCUUGUGCUGCUGACCAAUGUCCCCCAAAGACACCUCUGCCAGAGGUCUAAAACAUGGAAGAUGGCUAACAGGUCAAACAAACUCCUAUGUAGGACAUGGUUUUACAAGUAAAUAUAGUGAUGUUUUGCAAGUUUACAUGUCCGCUGAAUGGCGCUUUAAUCACAAGUUUUCAAACAAGCGCAUCAAAGCACAUUUUCGCGAAUAGACGUCAGCUUUGCCUCACCGUUUUGUUAUAUUUGACUGCAGUCGGGGAAAAUGAAAGGAAAACACUUUAGGCUAAUUAAAAUAUUUAAUAUUCACAGAUGAAAGUUUAGUCCUUAUGAAGAUGUGUGCGUUUCUUAGAACGAAUUCAAGCAGGAUAAAUGUCAAGCCUAUGAGCCUGUGCUUAUAUUUACUCUACACCAUAUUUUAGAUUUGACGCAUUUAAAUUAUUCUUAUUUGUCUACAUUUUAUCUUCAUUACAAAUCUUGUUUGGUUUUAUUUUGGAUAAUUGCAUGUAAAAAAAAAUAUUCACUUUGUAAUGCAUAUGGAAAAUGUAAAUUAUUAUUCAUAUACAAGUGUUUGUGCGAAAAUUAUUAAUGCGCUUGACAGGGAGGCGCCCUCUAGAUCACGUGAUUUUUUUCCCUAAUAAUGAAAUAAC